GAUGAACGCUGGCGGCGUGCUUAACACAUGCAAGUCACGGGGGCCAGCAAUGGGUAACCGGCGAACGGGUGCGUAACACGUGAGCAACCUACCGAAAUGAGGGGGAGUAGCCGUCCCAACGGACGGGUAAUACCGCAUAAGCUCUUGUCCAGGCAUUUGGAUUAGAGGAAACCUCCGGGGCAUUUCGAGGGGCUCGCGGCCUAUCAGCUAGUUGGUGAGGUAACGGCUCACCAAGGCGACGACGGGUAGCUGGUCUGAGAGGAUGGCCAGCCACAUUGGGACUGAGAUACGGCCCAGACUCCUACGGGAGGCAGCAGUGGGGAAUCUUGCGCAAUGGCCUAACGGCUGACGCAGCGACGCCGCGUGAGGGAUGACGCUCUUCGGAGUGUAAACCUCUUUUGCCUGAGACGAAUUGCCAGCUUCAGCUGGUUUGACUGUAUCGGGUGAAUAAGCACCGGCUAACUCCGUGCCAGCAGCCGCCGCAGUAAC
RNAcentral lists this ribosomal RNA (489 nucleotides) under uncultured bacterium. RNAcentral describes it as "bacterial SSU rRNA". It matches the Rfam family "Bacterial small subunit ribosomal RNA", at positions 28 to 526 of the family's 1533-position model. The record is from RNAcentral.